CUAAUGGCAAUGAGGAAGAAGAGUAGUCAUUUUUCGAGACGACAGAGAGCUGAUGGUUGGUGCGAAUCAGUGUCGAGGGAAUGAUGAAUGGGCUUCCGAGCCCCAAACCGAACCCGCCUUGUUCGCGGCGGCAGUAGGCUUUGGCGUUACGUCCGUACGUUACAAAGGACACCGUAUCAAAUCGGUACGGAACAAAGCGAUUUUGCGCAUGGAUGUUUCCUGUGCAAAAUAACAAGGGUGGCACCACGGUUCAUUCGUCCCUGUC
This 265-nucleotide non-coding RNA is filed under the name Brevibacillus parabrevis. RNAcentral's name for it is "T-box sequence". It matches the Rfam family "T-box leader". From Rfam's summary of the family: Uncharged tRNA acts as the effector for transcription antitermination of genes in the T-box leader family. T-boxes are found upstream of many aminoacyl-tRNA synthetase genes and some amino acid biosynthetic genes usually in Gram-positive bacteria. The anticodon of a specific tRNA base pairs to a specifier sequence within the T-box motif, and the NCCA acceptor tail of the tRNA base pairs to a conserved bulge in the T-box antiterminator hairpin. The record is from RNAcentral. Lineage: Bacteria; Bacillati; Bacillota; Bacilli; Caryophanales; Paenibacillaceae.